GAUGAACGCUGGCGGCGUGCCUAAUACAUGCAAGUCGAGCGAACAGACGAGGAGCUUGCUCCUCUGACGUUAGCGGCGGACGGGUGAGUAACACGUGGAUAACCUACCUAUAAGACUGGGAUAACUUCGGGAAACCGGAUCUAAUACCGGAUAAUAUAUUGAACCGCAUGGUUCAAUAGUGAAAGACGGGUUUGCUGUCACUUAUAGAUGGAUCCGCGCCGCAUUAGGUAGUUGGUAAGGUAACGGCUUACCAAGGAAACGAUGCGUAGCCGACCUGAGAGGGUGAUCGGCCACACUGGAGCUGAUACACGGUCCAGACUCCUACGGGAGGCAGCAGUAGCGAAUCGUCCGCAAUGGGCGAAAGCUUGACGGAGCAACGCCGCGUGAGUGAUGAAGGUCUUCGGAUCGUAAAACUCUGUUAUUAGGGAAGAACAAAUGUGUAAGUAACUAUGCACGUCUUGACGGUACCUAAUCAGAAAGCCACGGCUAACUACGUG
RNAcentral lists this ribosomal RNA (497 nucleotides) under uncultured bacterium. Its description in RNAcentral is "partial 16S ribosomal RNA". It matches the Rfam family "Bacterial small subunit ribosomal RNA", at positions 28 to 507 of the family's 1533-position model. The record is from RNAcentral.